UGGGGAAUCUUGCACAAUGGGGGCAACCCUGAUGCAGCGACGCCGCGUGAGCGAUGAAGCCCUUCGGGGCGUAAAGCUCUUUCGACCGGAACGAUAAUGACGGUACCGGGAGAAGAAGCUGCGGCCAACUACGUGCCAGCAGCCGCGGUAAUACGUAGGCAGCAAGCGUUGUUCGGAGUUACUGGGCGUAAAGAGUGCGUAGGCGGUUUUCUAAGUUCGGUGUGAAAUCUCCCGGCUUAACUGGGAGGGUGCGCCGAAGACUGGGAAGCUGGAGUGUGGGAAAGGCAGGCGGAAUUCCUGGUGUAGCGGUGAAAUGCGUAGAUAUCAGGAGGAACACCGGCGGUGUAGACGGCUUGCUAGACCAUAACUGACGCUGAGGCACGAAAGCGUGGGUAGCAAACA
This 402-nucleotide ribosomal RNA is filed under the name uncultured bacterium. RNAcentral's name for it is "bacterial SSU rRNA". It matches the Rfam family "Bacterial small subunit ribosomal RNA", at positions 355 to 774 of the family's 1533-position model. The record is from RNAcentral.